GAUGAACGCUGGCGGCGUGCCUAAUACAUGCAAGUCGAGCGAACAGAUGAGGAGCUUGCUCCUCUGACGUUAGCGGCGGACGGGUGAGUAACACGUGGAUAACCUACCUAUACGACUGGGAUAACUUCGGGGGACCGGAGCUAAUACCGGAUAAUAUAUUGCACCGCAUGGUUCAAUAGUGAAAGACGGUUUUGCUGUGACUUAUAGAUGGCUCCGCGCCGCAUUAGCUAGUUGGUAAGGUAACGGCUUACCAAGGCAACGAUGCGUAGCCGACCUGAGAGGGUGAUCCGCCACACGGGAACUGAGACACGGUCCAGACUCCUACGGGAGGCAGCAGUAGGGAAUCUUCCGCAAUGGGCGAAAGCCUGACGGAGCAACGCCGCGUGAGUGAUGAAGGUCUUCGGAUCGUAAAACUCUGUUAUUAGGGAAGAACAAAUGUGUAAGUAACUAUGCACGUCUUGACGGUACCUAAUCAGAAAGCCACGGCUAACUACGUG
This 497-nucleotide ribosomal RNA is filed under the name uncultured bacterium. RNAcentral describes it as "partial 16S ribosomal RNA". It matches the Rfam family "Bacterial small subunit ribosomal RNA", at positions 28 to 507 of the family's 1533-position model. The record is from RNAcentral.